AUGCUUAUUUUGGCAGCACACAUAUACUUAAGUUGUAAUGAUACAGAGAAUGGCCCCUAAACAAGAAUGACACACACAUUUGUGCAGUGUUCUAUGUUUUU
RNAcentral lists this small nuclear RNA (101 nucleotides) under Procavia capensis (Cape rock hyrax). The record is from RNAcentral. Lineage: Eukaryota; Metazoa; Chordata; Mammalia; Hyracoidea; Procaviidae.